CAUUUGGUCUUCCUAUUUCUGAGGUUACCAAUUUACGUUCUUUAUUUCAACAACCCCUCUUUAAUGGUUGCUUCUGUUUAGUUAUCUUCAUUUUUAUUGUCAUCAUUCUAUUCUUUAAAUAAUUGUCACCCCCACACAUUUUUUUUUUCCUUUUUUUAUAGUUAAUGCAGCGGCAAUGCAAAUAUUUAAAAUUACUGAUAGCUCCAAUAUCAAGAUACUCCAUGACUUUGAAUGAUGGAAUUUAGCUAAAUAGUGCUUCUAAGAGAAUUUAAGCUUACAUAAUCACCAUAAUGGGUUGACACUGAUAAAUCAUAAUUAAUCUUAUUGUUACAGAUGCUUGGUGGAAUUUGUGUUAACCGCUGUGACUUUCACUGGCUUUUUAGAAGUUUAGGCAUCCAUUAUUAUUAUU
This 409-nucleotide unclassified non-coding RNA is filed under the name Hevea brasiliensis (rubber tree). Lineage: Eukaryota; Viridiplantae; Streptophyta; Magnoliopsida; Malpighiales; Euphorbiaceae. The record is from RNAcentral.